Talpa occidentalis (Iberian mole) is the source of this 360-nucleotide long non-coding RNA. RefSeq lists it as uncharacterized. The transcript has 3 exons. The record is from RefSeq and is a predicted model, not a curated record. NCBI's taxonomy places the organism in Eukaryota, Metazoa, Chordata, Mammalia, Eulipotyphla, Talpidae.
CUCACUCUGGGGGCACCAGCUGCAGACACUCAAUCCCCCUGUGGAGAGACUCAUGCGGGCAGAUAUUGAGGCCUUUGGCCAACAGCCAAUCCCAGAUAGUGUGCGAAUUGAAUGAGGGUCAUUCUUGGAGUCAACGUGACAGUUUCUUACAGACACGGGCAAGGUAGACGCACAGGCCAAGAGGAUCCAGAGACGGAGUUUGCCCCUUUUUGCGAUGGAGCUGAUAUGUUACCGGGCCCUCAGAACUCCAAGAAGCUGGCUCUGCCCCAAACUCCAUUUUUGAGAGGAAGAACCAGCCUGGAAGAAGUUAAGUGCUCAAAGCCACAGUUCGUGGGCGGCUCUGCGGGAUAUAAAUCGAGU